GAAAGCUACCUUGUCAGCACCUUGGUCUUGAAACUGUAAGAAAUCAAUUUCUGUCGUUUAAGCCCCCCAGUCUUUGGAAUUUUGUUAUGGCAGCCCAAACUGACUAAGACAGUAUCUACUAGAAGGUUCAAGUCUGAAGAGGAAAAAAGUUUGCUUUCUGCUCUGAAGGCUUGCAUGGAAUUAGAUUCGUGUGUUAGAGACACACACGUAAAGACAAAUGCACAGACAGAAGACACUCCCAACUUCAUCUGCAUCUGGAUUUCCUGAGUCAGAAGGUAUCUUCCAGGGGUCUGAAAUCUAGAAAGACGGAAAUCACAAGACUAUGGAGACUCGCAAACAUUCACCAGCAGUACCUUCAGAGCAAUCAACACAGCAGAAGGUCUCCAACUGAACCGAGUCCAGUUCCUACUGAACACAAUUUGACUUCUGGAUCGCAGUCUGGAUUCUGA
Molecule: long non-coding RNA, 449 nt
Filed under: Pan troglodytes (chimpanzee)
Lineage: Eukaryota; Metazoa; Chordata; Mammalia; Primates; Hominidae
Description: lncRNA (ENSPTRG00000053616.1)
Source: RNAcentral